UUCUUUUCUUUCUUUAUAUAUAUAUAUAUAUAGAAUUAGGCUGGAAUACUACUAAUAGUAAAACGCUCUUUUUGCUAUCAAAUUUUUAACCCUUAGAUGGAAAUUUGUAGGGUCAGGAUGAUAUUAGUCGGUUAGUGUUGAGUGGUCCCCACUGGGUUAUAGUAUUUAAUCCAAUGGUUAGAAAUAAUGAAAAGAGUUGAUUCAAAGGCUAAAAAACUGGUAGCAACAAUGAAAUUUUGCUGCUAUUAGUAGUCCAGUCCAACUAUAUAUAUAUAUAUAUAUAUUGUAGAGCUACUAUACUAUCAGAAGUAUAGAGGAUCCGAUGCUUCCAACUUUUUGACCAUUUGAUAAAAAAUUAUACGGUUGGGAUGAUUGCGGUCCCUCCAAAAUUGAGUAGUACUCCUAGGGUUGAGUGGCCCCCACAGGAUAAUAGUAUUAAUCCAAAGGUUAAAAAUGAUCAAAAGAGUUGAUCUAAGGGCCAAAAAUCGAAAGCACUAUAUGCUCUAUGCUUCCAAUCGCAUAGUAGCAUAGUAGGGCUACUAUACUCUUAUGAGUAUUGGGCCCUUCGUACUAUAAGUUGUUUUCGAUGAUGGAGCUUUCGAAUCGACGAUCCACUCUGUUAAAUAUGAUCUAGAGUAUUUGAAACUUUUAGAGAAUAAAUUUCGUAAUUUUUCGAAAUCAUAAUAAAGUCCAUCAAGCGAGCAUAAAAUGAAAGGUCAAAAUCGAACGACGUCCUAAAAAUGGAUGAUCAGAUCCUUCAAUUUAAGAUCAGAGUUAUCGGUCUUUAUCUAGGUAGUGAAUAGAAUUUUCUAUAAAAAAUUAAACUUGUUCCGAUUUUUUUUCACUGUUAAACUAGCAAGUAUCACAUACCGGCAGUUAAAAAUUAUCAAUUUUGUGAGCUUUUGAUCGUAAGGUAAAUAAUGUCAAAAAAUUAUGAAAUUUGAUUUCUAGAAGUUUUAAAUGCUCUAGAAAAUAUUUAAUAGUAUGGAUCGUCGAUUCGGAAGCUCUAUCAUCCAAAACAACUUAUGAGUACGAAGGCGAUCGUACUCAUAAGAGUAUAAUAGCCGGACUAUAUAUAUAUAUAU
Molecule: long non-coding RNA, 1085 nt
Filed under: Ananas comosus (pineapple)
Lineage: Eukaryota; Viridiplantae; Streptophyta; Magnoliopsida; Poales; Bromeliaceae
Description: long non-coding RNA (ACOM_LNC019868)
Source: RNAcentral